CACCGCGGUUAGACGAGAGGCCCUAGUUGAUAAUUUAACGGCGUAAAGGGUGGUUAAGGAUAAAUAACAAAUAAAGCCAAAUGGCCCCUUGGCCGUCAUACGCUUCUAGAUGUCUGAAGCCCUAACACGAAAGUAGCUUUAAUAUCACCUGACCCCACGAAAGCUAAGAAA
This 171-nucleotide ribosomal RNA is filed under the name Garra makiensis. RNAcentral describes it as "partial 12S rRNA". The record is from RNAcentral. Lineage: Eukaryota; Metazoa; Chordata; Actinopteri; Cypriniformes; Cyprinidae.